This 253-nucleotide ribosomal RNA is filed under the name uncultured bacterium. RNAcentral describes it as "partial 16S ribosomal RNA". It matches the Rfam family "Bacterial small subunit ribosomal RNA", at positions 524 to 776 of the family's 1533-position model. The record is from RNAcentral.
UACGUAGGGACCAAGCGUUGUUCGGAUUUACUGGGCGUAAAGGGCGCGUAGGCGGGUCGGCAAGUCCGGGGUGAAAGCCCCCAGCUCAACUGGGGAAGGGCCUUGGAAACUGCCGGUCUUGAGGGAGGUAGGGGCCUGUGGAACUUCGGGUGGAGCGGUGAAAUGCGUUGAUAUCCGAAGGAACGCCGGUGGCGAAAGCGACGGGCUGGAUCUCUUCUGACGCUGAGGCGCGAAAGCUAGGGUAGCGAACGGG